This 34-nucleotide ribosomal RNA is filed under the name Globisporangium splendens. Its description in RNAcentral is "partial 18S ribosomal RNA". The record is from RNAcentral. Lineage: Eukaryota; Oomycota; Peronosporomycetes; Pythiales; Pythiaceae.
CUUCUCUUUUGGGGUGACUGCGGAAGGAUCAUUA